Molecule: ribosomal RNA, 699 nt
Filed under: Triticum aestivum (bread wheat)
Lineage: Eukaryota; Viridiplantae; Streptophyta; Magnoliopsida; Poales; Poaceae
Description: partial small subunit ribosomal RNA
Source: RNAcentral
AUGGGCAACGAGUUGGAUUUCCGGACUAUGGUUGUCCAUCACCUUCUCAAAGGCUAUAUUCCUCGGAAAUGGUCUCUCGCCGUUAUAGCCGGACUGUUUGCAAACCUGCUCGCAGGCAACUUGGGCUUUGGUCCUGUGGCUCCUUUCGAUGCCGCUGCAUGCUUCAUGGAAAUAGGCAUGGCUAUCAUCAUGUCCUCGUGGAGUGAAAACUAUGGAGAUCAAUCUGAAGGCAAGGAUCUCAUGUCUCAGUUCAAGGUUGCCGCCAAGGCAAUCGCUUCAGCCUUGAGCCCAAAUGACGAAGACAUUCCUCAUGGCUUUAUAUUUGCCACCUUCAUGCUGUCGUCUAUGCUGGGUAGCUCCAUUGCAUCACGCCUGUUGGCCCGGAAGAUGAAGGUUGAAGGUUAUAUGCAGAUCGUGUUUGCAGUAUCAGCCUUCACCCUUUUCCUCCCAGUUGCCACCAGCCUUUUGGUGCCGACGUCUUCAGUGGAAGGAAGCGGCAUCUCAUUUGGGGGCUCUCUACAGCUGCUUGGUAUCUGUACGUUUGAGUUAUGCGUCGGCAUUUUCUGGCCAUCCAUCAUGAAGAUGAGAUCUCAGUACAUUCCUGAGGAGGCAAGAAGCGCCAUCAUGAACUUCUUCCGCAUACCGCUCAACCUGUUUGUCUGUGUGGUGCUCUACAAUGUAAGAAAAUAUAUCCGUUGA